AAAAAACCAAUGCAAUUUUACAGCGGGUAUAUGAUCAAACGAAGUAAAACUUGAAACAUAAAAAGCAGGCUGACGAAGCUGCGCAUCCUGGCCAUUUCUGCAGUAUCGUGCCAUACGAAGAGUUUAAGCAGGGAUACUGCGUCUAAACACCUUGAUUCAAGCAUCUGCAGAUGCGACUGUGGGGCGGUCGAAGAUGAAAUGCACGUUGAGAGAGGUGAUCCAAUCCACACUUGCAGCGUUGAGAGAGGUGAUCCAAUCCACACUUGGAUCACCAUCCACACUUGCAGCGCGCCAGAGAUCUUCCAUGCCAUAAAUACCAGGGGCUUUCACAGCUAUGAAGCACAACCCAACAAGCAGGACAUGCCUCGUGAAACGAUGUCUACGUAUGAUAUUGAGCCAAAAGAUGUUAACAUGUGCGCAUAACAAUAGGCUCAUUCAAAAAAAGCCCGAAGCCCGAGAAUUAACAACAAGCAGGCAGAGCAAACACGUCCUUGGAAGGAGUAGCUGAGAGAGGUGAUCCAAUGGACCACCAUCCACAAUGGCAGCGAAGCAGAGACCUUCAAUGCCAUAAAUACCAGGGGCUUUCGCAGCUAUGAAGUACAACCCAAUAAGCAGGACAUGCCUCGUAACACGAUGUCGACCUAUGAUGUUGAGCCAGUAAUGUUAGCACGUGCGCAUAGUAGAAAAAUUAUUCAUAAAGUUUCCGACAUUUAACCUACUAAUAUUUUAUAAGGACGCAUACCACGCGACUGCCUUUGGAAGCGUCCCUCAAUGUCGUGCAGUUGGUUCCGGAGGAGGCGCGGACGCCAUCCAUACGUCUUCGUGUCUAGACCGUCCUCGUCAAUUUUUGCAGAUUGUUUUAUCGCAAUUUUACUGAUCAGCAGACGCCUGUCAGAAGCAU
Molecule: long non-coding RNA, 901 nt
Filed under: Volvox carteri
Lineage: Eukaryota; Viridiplantae; Chlorophyta; Chlorophyceae; Chlamydomonadales; Volvocaceae
Description: long non-coding RNA (VCAR_LNC002411)
Source: RNAcentral